GUGUACGGAAGUGCACCUGAAAGUCAGGAUAGAGCUUGAUUAGUUAAGCAUUUCAUUUACACUGAAAAUACACUGUGCAAUUCAGUUUAUUCUGAUAAAUUUUAACUUACUUUAGUUGUUAGUUGUUAAAAGUUUUUUUAAUUAAAUUAUUUUUAAUAGGUUAUGUUUGUGUAUAGAAUAUAGAUAAAAUUAUUUAAGUGGUAGGUUAAUUGUAUCGUGAGAGGUUGAUUGAAAUAGUUUGAAAAUAUAUUUUUAUAAAAGUAGAUUAAUGAUUGUACCUUGUGUAUCAGGGUUUAUUAAAAAAAUUGCAAAUAUUUGUAUUUUCCCGAUUUGAAGAGAGCUAAAUAAAUGUGUUAGUUAAUGUGGAAUAAUUAUUAAUAACAUUUAUUUAGUAAUGAAACGUUAUCCGUUCUUUAAGAUAUCUGGUUUUCCGAGAAAUGAAUUUAAUUCAGGUUUAAAAAAGUGUAAUUUAAUUUAUUAAAUAAAUCAUUUUUUUAAGCUAAUGCCCUGGGGGAUAAGCUUUAGGGUAGGUUUUAUAAUUAGUGAAAUUUUAAAAGAUUUAGUAGGCUUAGAAUUAGCCAUCUAUUAAAGGAUGUUAUAAUUUAAUUUUUUGUAAGUUUAAUUUUCUAAGAAUUUAAGUUUUAUAUCGGAGCAAUGUAACUAAUUUUUAGUUACUUGAGAUAAUGAUAAAAUUAGUAUAAAAAUUGUUUAAAUUAUUAAAAAAAUGUGAGGUUACAUUAAGGAAUUAGGCAAAUUAGUACUCGCCUGUUUAACAAAAACAUGUCUUCUUGAUUAUAAUUUGAAGUCUGACCUGCCCACUGAAUUUUAUAUUUGAAGGGCCGCGGUAUUUUGACCGUGCAAAGGUAGCAUAAUCAUUAGUCUUUUAAUUGAAGGCUAGAAUGAAUGGUUGGACGAGGUACUGACUGUCUCGGUGUGAUUGAUAUUAGAAUUUAACUUUUAAGUUAAAAGGCUUAAAUAUAUUUAA
This 985-nucleotide ribosomal RNA is filed under the name Protonemura lateralis. RNAcentral describes it as "partial large subunit ribosomal RNA". Lineage: Eukaryota; Metazoa; Arthropoda; Insecta; Plecoptera; Nemouridae. The record is from RNAcentral.